Molecule: non-coding RNA, 43 nt
Organism: Schistosoma margrebowiei
Lineage: Eukaryota; Metazoa; Platyhelminthes; Trematoda; Strigeidida; Schistosomatidae
Source: Rfam
AUUCAGCUGACGAGUUCUGAAUAGAACGAAACGUGUCCUAGAU